Molecule: long non-coding RNA, 396 nt
Organism: Oreochromis niloticus (Nile tilapia)
Lineage: Eukaryota; Metazoa; Chordata; Actinopteri; Cichliformes; Cichlidae
Exons: 4
Source: RefSeq, a predicted model, not a curated record
AGUAUAAUAAUAUUUAAAUUUACAUAUAUUUUUCACGUUUUCAAUGCCAAUUUUGUGUAAUGGCAAAGUUUCCCACUACCCGUGAAUGCCUCUUUUUUAUGUCUCUGGCUGACUCCUUAAUCUCCGCCCAGUCUCUGCUCCAUCCCUGCCGAGUGAACGAGAUCUUUGGUUUUGCCUUUGCUGACUGCUGAUCUGAUCGUCUCAAGUCUGGUGACCUGCUGCAGAAUACCCUCUCCCUCUAUCAUUAACAAGCAAUUCAGUCUGUCCUAUCACUCUCCCUCUCCCUGCUCCAUCUUUUUUGACAAGCCAUUCUAUCUUCUAUCAUUUCUCCGCCAUGAGCUCUAUCUAAGUUGACAAGCUUGAACCUGAGUUGAAACGCAAUCCUGUGACUUGAAA